ACAGUGGUGCUUCAGUGGUAGAAUUCUUGCCUGCUAUGCAGGAGACCCAGGUUCAAUUCCUGGCCAAUGCA
RNAcentral lists this transfer RNA (71 nucleotides) under Loxodonta africana (African savanna elephant). Its description in RNAcentral is "tRNA-Ser (GCT) (tRNA-Ser-GCT-29-1)". It matches the Rfam family "tRNA". Rfam says of the family: Transfer RNA (tRNA) molecules are approximately 80 nucleotides in length. Their secondary structure includes four short double-helical elements and three loops (D, anti-codon, and T loops). The record is from Rfam by way of RNAcentral. Lineage: Eukaryota; Metazoa; Chordata; Mammalia; Proboscidea; Elephantidae.